This 495-nucleotide ribosomal RNA is filed under the name uncultured bacterium. RNAcentral's name for it is "partial 16S ribosomal RNA". It matches the Rfam family "Bacterial small subunit ribosomal RNA", at positions 28 to 507 of the family's 1533-position model. The record is from RNAcentral.
GACGAACGCUGGCGGCGUGCCUAAUACAUGCAAGUAGAACGCUGAAGGAGGAGCCUGCUUCUCUGGAUGAGUUGCGAACGGGUGAGUAACGCGUAGGUAACCUGCCUGGUAGCGGGGGAUAACUAUUGGAAACGAUAGCUAAUACCGCAUAACAGUAGAUAUCGCAUGAUAUCUACUUGAAAGGUGCAAUUGCAUCACUACCAGAUGGACCUGCGUUGUAUUAGCUAGUUGGUGAGGUAACGGCUCACCAAGGCGACGAUACAUAGCCGACCUGAGAGGGUGAUCGGCCACACUGGGACUGAGACGCGGCCCAGACUCCUACGGGAGGCAGCAGUAGGGAAUCUUCGGCAAUGGACGGAAGUCUGACCGAGCAACGCCGCGUGAGUGAAGAAGGUUUUCGGAUCGUAAAGCUCUGUUGUAAGAGAAGAACGAGUGUGAGAGUGGAAAGUUCACACUGUGACGGUAUCUUACCAGAAAGGGACGGCUAACUACGUG